Non-coding RNA from Solanum lycopersicum (tomato), 2513 nucleotides. NCBI's taxonomy places the organism in Eukaryota, Viridiplantae, Streptophyta, Magnoliopsida, Solanales, Solanaceae. The record is from RefSeq and is a predicted model, not a curated record.
UUGUAACAAACUACGCUGAGUUAGCUAGAAGAAGUUAGUUACAGAAUGUGGUCUAUAAAUACAACCUCCAUUACUUGUAUUCACUAGCCUUUUGAGCUCAAUCAAUGAGAAGCUCUCUCUAAAGAAGCAGUUACUGUUUUAGUGUUCAUUCUAAGUGUUUUAUUUCAGUUUAGUUCAUGGUAUCAGAGCUAUACACAGUAUAACUUUGAGAGGCAAUCGAUUUGAAAUCAUCAGAUCAAUUGUGCAUCAUCAUCGAACUAACAGUUCUUCAGCUGAACUAAGUUGGUGAUCAAAAAUCAAUUGAAGAUUGAAUCUCUUCCGCUACAAGUAUUUUUCAAAGUUUCAAUUAGAAGAUCCAAUUCAAGGUUUUAACAAUGGCAACAAUGGAGAACAUGUAGGUGCAUCAACUGCUCUGCCUAGUUUUAUGACUAGCCUAGGUAUUGAUUAUAAUCAUCCUUUGUUUCUUAGUCUAUCGGAUGUAAGUGGAUAUAAUCUCCUUUUAUUUCAAUUACUUGGAACUGAAAAUUACACUCUAUGGAGUAUAACAAUCACUGUUAGGACAAAAUAAACUAGGUGUGAUUAAUGAAUCCUGUAAUAAAGAAGUUUUUUGGUGAAGAACUGUGGGGACAUGGAAAAGAACAAAUGUUAUUGUCUUAAAAUGGCUAAUGAAUUUAGUAUCCAAAGGUUUGCUUAGUGGAAUUGCAUUAGCAUCCACUGCUAUGUAGGUUUGGAAUGAUCUGAAAGAGAGGUUCGAUAGAGUAGAUAGUUCUAGAACCUACAGUCUUCAUAAAGAUAUUGUUUCCUUGCAGCAGGUAACUCACAUUCUGGGAUGAGGUUGAGAUCGUAGUACCCACACCUUGCUGUAAUUGUGCAAAAUCGAAGGAGUUUGUCAUUCAUCUAAAUAGACAGAAAUUGUAUCAGUUCUUAAUGGAGUUAAAUGAAUCCUAUCAUCAAGCUAGAAGUCAAAUUUUGAUGAUGAAUCCCCUACCUGUUGUUAACCAUGCUUAUGCUAUGAUAAUUGGAGAUGAAAGUCAAAGAGUUGUAGUAUCACACAUUUGUAACAUGGAAUUGAAUUCUGUUAGUCUAGAUUCUAUAGGUAUGUACUCAAAGGUAGGUACCGCACCAGGAGUAAGUCAGAGAUCUAAGAAAAUCCUUUUAUGAUAUGUGAGGUCUGCAAAUUUAAACGUCACAGUUUGGAGACUUGUUAUAGAGUAAUUGGUUAUCCAGCUGAUUUCAAGUCCAAGAGAAAGGUGCAAGGUUCUUCUUCAAAAGUCAACAAUACUUGGCAAUAUCAAUCAAGUCAGGCUCAUUUUUCAUAUGGUUUGAACACCAAUGUCCGUGCACCAGAGUGGAAUAGGAAACCUGAUAGCUUGCAGACUAAUCAUGGUGGCGCUUUUCCUUAAGAGACGGGAUAAGAAAGAGAGAGAGCUCGUGGCUGUAUAUUUUUUAUCAAAUUGAUUCCUAACAGGAACAAGAUUGGCAAAUGUCACUGUGCGUAACACAUUUAAUUGGAAGUGGAAUGAAGAUAAUGCACUUUACUCUUUCAUUUGUAGCUCGAUUAGUCCUUUGGUUGGGCUAACUUGAAUCAGUUUAGUUUUUCACGUUAGCUCCUUAACUUCAAAUGGUAUUUAUCCAACGUCGUGAAAGUGUCACCUUUCAAGAGUAGAAGGAAGCGGAAUAAGCGCUCUUAUAUAAGUUCAUUUCUGAUUCACUUCUUCUCAUUCGUUCCGAGUCGCCAAGGGGCAGAAGCCUUUCUUCUGAUUUCUUUGCAAGCAUUACGGAAGAUUCGUUAGCUCUUUCUCUUGGUGAUCGUUUCAUUGGCAACGACAGAUAGGCGCAAUCAAAACAUUGCUAGUAUGAGACCAUCCUCCGCCCGCCGGAGAGAUCAGUUUGACUAGGGCUCAAAUCAGACUUCACCGAGUAAUGAGAAACUUAGGACCUAGGUACGUAAACUUGCUAGUCGAAAAGAGAUCUUCGCGUUCAAAUCAUUCUAAUACACUAAGUCAAGCUGAGAUGAAUGCCAAACAAUUUUUGAAGGGUUGCACAUUCACAAAGGAGUAGUAUGAUUACAUUCUUAGAGGACUUCAACAGCAGUCAGAACCUAACACUAGCACCGCUGAUUACAAUCAUAGCAAUUCUGCUCACACUGCAGGAUCUUUCCAGUGGGAAGGUGAAGGAAGUUGGUAAAGAAGCUGGUUCUUUAUAUACUCAAAGUCAUGACAGAGGUGAAAAGGAGAUUGUCUUGACAUUAAAUCAAGGUCCCACAAAUAUGGAUUUGUGGCAUAAAUGACUAGGGCAUGUGUCUUCUAUAGUACUCUCAAAAAUCUUUAAUAUGAAUAAUCAAAGCAUUUGUAAACUGUCCAAAUGUUUAGUUUGUCCUUGUGCAAAACAGACUAGACUCACAUUUUCUUCUAGUAGCAUCAAAAGUUGUAAUUGUUUUGACUUGAUUCAUGUUAAUCUAUGGGGUCUCAAUAAUACUCCUACGUUUAAUGGACACUAAUAUUUUCUUACAA